GGGCUAUCCUGUGUUUCCUUUAUGCCUUAUGCAUUUAAGCUAUUUUUUUCUGAAUGUACAAACCUUGCACUUCCUUCAUCAAUAUCACCAGGGCUCUUCUAUUAGAUCUGAUCUUAUUAGAUCAAAAUUUAAAUAUAGGAUAGAAAACCUAGUAUUUCUAGCAAGCUCUAGAAAUGCCGAUCAUCCCAUAUGAACAUUAAUGAUUGAUACUAUUUUUUUGGCCAUGCCUGUGGUGUGUGGAAGUUCCCUGGUCAGGGAUCAAAGCUACAGCAGCGACCAGAGCUAUGGCAAUGACAACACUGGAUCCUUAACCCACUCUGCCACAAGGGAACUCCCAAUGAUUGAGACUAUUGCUUUAAGAAAAUAUUUUGCAAAUAUAAAUGAUUAAGGAAAGGGCUGGAAGAAUAAGAAAUAGAGUGGCCAAACUACUCCUGAAGAAAGAGUUUUAACUAAAGAAACACCCCCCCCCGCCCCCAUCACUGAGGAGGCAGCUACAUGCCUGACAGCAGCUUUGCUCGCCCCAUACCACCCUUCUUGUAAUGUUAUAGCAACUAUGUACCUUAUGUCCUUGCUAGCAGCCCUGCUAACCCUGCUCCAAGCAUUGUUUAUCAGUUUCACUUUUGUAAUCUUAUUUGCUCAGCUUCUUAGGCAGGAACUCUGCCUCUCGGGAAGGGGGAGGGCUGGGUCUGCUUGCAUAGGAAAACCUUGAGACCAGGAAGUCUGCGUUGUAUAAAAGCUAUCCAGAACAAAGACCUCGUGCUCAGACUCUGGAGGCAGCUCCUCUGAGCCCGCACUGGUGCCAAAUAAACCUGGCUAUUCCACAUCUCUGAGUACCGCUUAUCUCUUUCUGCUGCCACGGUUUCUGCAACACUCCCAGUAAUUCAUGUUGAUGGAUUGAACUAAGCGAAUUUCCAAGAUUGUAAAUUGCAGACUGUGGAGAUGACAGGAGCAGGAGUCCUUCUGUGGAGGUUGGGGUAGGAGCUAAUUAAAUAGAGGGGAGAUAGAGAAUGGGACCCUAGGAAGUCAUUCCUCCUUUCUGUGCUUGUAAAGAUAGGCUUGGGCAGAACAAAAGAGAAAAAGGUAAAAAGGGAAGAGAGCAAGACAGUUUGUGGUGUCUCACAGGGAGGAAAAACAGAUUUCAGUUUACCUAAAAAACCAAAGCCUUUCCUUGCUUUCCUUCCAGAUCACUCUCCUCCCACCCGCUGCCUCCCUGAGGGCUGUAACCUCGCCUGUUUUUUCCUUGUUGUUGCCUCCCAGCAGAAAUCUGUGAGUGUACUGGUCGCAUCAUCUGCAGGGAAGGACAUGGCUUACGCUUUGAGUAACUACUCUUCCUUGCAUGUAGUUGAACCUGGGAAGGGAAUGGUGCCAUAUGGAGGAGACUGUGCCCCUCUUGUCACCUAUAUGCUAGGGGAUCUGUAUUGAAUGUAGGGUACUGCAUUAUCUUGAUCUCAGGAGACAAAGAUACUCCUUAAACUGGAGUUAGCCUUACCUUAAAGGAUGAGAUCAUUUCUUUGACCAGCAAUCUCUUUCUUAUCAAAUGUCCUCUCUCUGGUCCACAACAGAAUAGGAAGCCCAUAGGGAACCUUCUGGUUUUAACUUGGGCUUUUGACGUUGCCUUUGAAGAAUAUCCUGGAGCUUGAUCCAGAACAGCCAAAUAUAAGAUGACAAUUCCCAUAAGGGGACCAGCCAGGAGCUGGGAGAGCAGGAACUUUGGCAAGGAGUCUGUGAUAUUAUUCCAGGCAGAGAGAGAAAACAAUACACUAAUUUUUUUUUUUUUCGAUCAAAGCAAACUGGAAAAUUUGGAACUGCACUGUUCUAAUUUGGAGUUCUUAGAAAAUAAUGGGCCUGGGAGUAUAGUCUGGGUGGCUUAAUUUGUUUCCAGCAAUACCUCUAAGGAAUGUUUCACACUGGUGGUUUAGUUUCUCUGCCCUGUGGCCCCAGCUACCUUUUUUUGUUUUCAUGCCUUUUGAUUCUCUUAUGUGUAACUGUUGUUUUUUGUUUUGUUUUGUUUUGUUUUGUUUUUUAAGGUGUAUGCAUCACUUAAAAAAAAAAAAACCUUAAUUUUUUUUUUUUUUUUUCUUUUUAGGGCCACACCCACGGCAUAUGGAAGUUCCCAGACUAGGGGUUGAAUCAGCACUGCAGCUGCCAGUCUAAGGUACAGCCACAGCCACAUGCUGGAUCUGAGCCUCAUCUUCGACCUAGGCCACAGCUCAUGGCAACGCCAGAUCCUUAACGCAGUGAGCAAGGCCAGGGAUCUAACCUGCAUCCUCAUGGAUACCAGUUGGGUUCGUUACUGCUGAGCCACAACGGUAACUCCCAAAUUAUUUUUUUUAUUAUGCCAAGAAAACAACAUGAGAUCUACCUUUCUGACAAGUUUUUGAGUGCACACUACUGUUAGCUAUGGGCAUGAAGUUGUACAGCAGAUCUCUAGAACCUUUUUUUGUGUUUGUGUAACUGAAACUUUGUACCAUUGAACAGCAGUUCCCCAUUUCUUCCUCCUCCAAGACCUGGCAACUACCAUUCUAUUCUGUUUCUAUGAAUUUACUAUUUUAGAUACCUCAUAUAAGUGGAAUCAUUCAGUAUUUCUCCAUCUGUGUCAGGGUGAUUGCAUUUAGCAUAAUUUCCUCCGGGUUCACCCAUGUUGUCACAUAUACCAGGAUUUCCUUCUUAUUUAAGGCUGAAUAAUAUUCCAUUGUAUGUAUAAACCACAUUUUCUUUAUCCAUUCAUCUAUCGUGGACAUUUAAAUUGUUUCUAUAUCUUGUCUGUUGUGACUAAUGCUGCAAUAAACAUGAGAGAACAGAUAGCUCUUUGAGAUCC
Molecule: long non-coding RNA, 2818 nt
Filed under: Sus scrofa (pig)
Lineage: Eukaryota; Metazoa; Chordata; Mammalia; Artiodactyla; Suidae
Description: lncRNA (ENSSSCG00040007992.1)
Source: RNAcentral